RNAcentral lists this ribosomal RNA (344 nucleotides) under uncultured bacterium. RNAcentral describes it as "bacterial SSU rRNA". It matches the Rfam family "Bacterial small subunit ribosomal RNA", at positions 1 to 334 of the family's 1533-position model. The record is from RNAcentral.
CUAGCGACUUCAGAGUUUGAUCCUGGCUCAGGACGAACGCUGGCGGCGUGCCUAACACAUGCAAGUCGAGCGGAGACAGAUUUGAGCUUGCUUAGAUCUGUUUUAGCGGCGGACGGGUGAGUAACGCGUGAGCAACCUUUCUCUCAGUGGGGAAUAACACAGGGAAACUUGUACUAAUACCGCAUGAGACCACGACCCGGCAUCGGGAUGGGGUCAAAGAUUAAUCGCUGAGAGGUGGGCUCGCGUCUGAUUAGAUAGUUGGUGGGGUAACGGCCUACCAAGUCGACGAUCGGUAGCCGACCUGAGAGGGUGAUCGGCCACAUUGGGACUGAGACACGGCCCAA